GCACAAAACUAGUGGCCACACGCACCCUACAAGAGGGCAGCUUCAAGUGCGGUGUAAACUGAAAAACCAACCCACGCUGGCGACAGUGAAGAGCUGGAGCGAGGUUGAGGGAAUUGAGAAGCUAGUAGACUGGGCACACGCGGUCUCCACUGGAACGACUUCCCCUUUCCAAAAAACGGUAGGCUGAAAUUACAUCUUAAGCAGUCAGGAUC
RNAcentral lists this long non-coding RNA (212 nucleotides) under Marmota monax (woodchuck). The record is from RNAcentral. Lineage: Eukaryota; Metazoa; Chordata; Mammalia; Rodentia; Sciuridae.